GAGCGGCGAACGGGUGAGUAACACGUAAGCAACCUACCUCCAAGUUUGGAAUAGCCUUGCCCACGCAUGGCUAAUGCCCGAUGUCCUCCAGGCUUCUCAUGUGGCCUGGAUGAAAGGUGACCUCUACUUGUAAGUUGUCGCUUGGAGAUGGGCUUGCGGCCCAUUAGCUUGUUGGCUGGGUAACGGCCUACCAAGGCUACGAUGGGUAGCCGACCUGAUAGGGUGAUCGGCCACAUUGGGACUGAUAUACCGCCCAGACUCCUACGGGAGGCAGCAGUAAGGAAUUUUGCGCAAUGGACGAAGGUCUGACUCAGCAACGCCGCGUGAGGGAUGAAUGCCUUCGGGUUGUAAACCUCUGUUGGAUGAGAAGAAAAGCUUGAUGGCUAAUAUCCAUCAUGUAUGACGGUAUCGUUCGAGGAAGCUCCGGCUAACUACGUGCCAGCAGCCGCGGUAAUACGUAAGGGGCAAGCGUUGUUCGGAAUCACUGCGCGUACUCGGAGCGUAUGCGGGAAUGUAAGUUAAGACUUAAAUCCACAGGCUCAACCUGUGAUCUGCUUUUAAUACUGCCUUGUCUUGAGUAUGGGAGAGGGUGAUGGAAUUCCGGUGUAACGGUGGAAUGCGUACAUAUCUGGAACACACCUUUGCGAAUGCGGUCACCUGGCCCAAUACUGACGCUGAGGCUCGAAAGCUAGGGGAGCGAACAGGAUUAGAUACCCUGGUAGUCCUAGCGGUAAACGAUGGACACUAGUUGUUGGAGGAGUCAAUCCUUUCAGUGACGAAGUUAUCGCAUUAAGUGUCCCGCCUGGGGAGUACGCUCGCAAGGGUGAAACUCAAAGGAAUUGACGGGGGCCCGCACAAGCGGUGGAGCAUGUGCUUUAAUUCGAUGCAACGCGAAGAACCUUACCUGGGUUUGACAUGGGAGUGAAAUUCGGUAGAGAUACGGACCCUUCCUUUGGGAACACUCUACUCAGGUGCUGCAUGGUAGUGGUCAGUUUGUGUCGUGAGAUGUUGGGUUAAGUCCCGCAACGAGCGCAACCCCUACCCUUAGUUGCCAGCGAGUAAUGUCGGGAACUCUAGGGGGACUGCCUGGUAUAACCAGGAGGAAGGUGGGGAUGACGUCAAAUCAUCAUGGCCGUUACGCCCAGGUCUAGACACGUGGUACAAUGGCCGGUACAACGGGAUGCGAGUCCGCAAGGGUUAGCCAAUCCCUUAAAACCGGUUUCAGUUCGGAUUGGAGUCUGCAACUCGACUCCAUGAAGGUGGAAUCGGUAGUAAUCGUGGAUCAGCAUGCCGCGGUGAAUACGUUCCCGGGCCUUGUACACACCGCCCGUCAAGCCAUGAAAGGCGGGAGUACCGUAAGUCGUUCGUCUAACCC
Molecule: ribosomal RNA, 1375 nt
Filed under: uncultured organism
Description: 16S ribosomal RNA
Rfam family: Bacterial small subunit ribosomal RNA
Source: RNAcentral